GACAGAGGUGGCGAGCGUUGUUCGGAAUUACUGGGCUUAAAGGGCGAGUAGGCGGUAGGGCAAGUCCAAGGUGGAAUCCUAUGGCUCAACCAUAGAAUUGCCUUGGAACCUGUUUUACUUGAGUCAGUGAGGGGAGGGCGGAAUUCCUGGUGUAGCGGUGAAAUGCGUAGAUAUCAGGAGGAAGGCCUGUGGCGAAGGCGGCCCUCUGGCACUGGACUGACGCUGAGGCGCGAAAGCGUGGGGAGCAAACAGG
This 253-nucleotide ribosomal RNA is filed under the name uncultured bacterium. RNAcentral describes it as "partial 16S ribosomal RNA". It matches the Rfam family "Bacterial small subunit ribosomal RNA", at positions 524 to 776 of the family's 1533-position model. The record is from RNAcentral.